CCCUUAGAUGUUCUGGGCAGCACGCGCGCUACAAUGGUCUUCGCAAACGGAUGCAUUCUCGAAGGAGAAUGCCAAUCUUGGAAUCUAUGCCUUGGUCGGGACAGUUGCUUGCAAUUUUUCGACUCGAACCAGGAAUUCCUUGUAAUCGUGAUUCAUCACAUCACGAUGAUUACGUCCCUGCCCUUUGUACACACCGCCCGUCGCUCCUACCGAUUGGGUGUGCUGGUGAAAUGUUCGGAUCGGCCGUUUGUCGCGGUUUCCGCGUCAUGUGGCUGAGAAGUUCAUUAAACCCUCCCACCUAGAGGAAGGAGAAGUCGUAACA
RNAcentral lists this ribosomal RNA (322 nucleotides) under uncultured eukaryote. RNAcentral describes it as "partial 18S ribosomal RNA". It matches the Rfam family "Eukaryotic small subunit ribosomal RNA", at positions 1470 to 1796 of the family's 1831-position model. The record is from RNAcentral.